CCUACGGGGGGCAGCAGUGGGGAAUAUUGGACAAUGGGCGAAAGCCUGAUCCAGCCAUGCCGCGUGAGUGAUGACGGCCCUAGGGUUGUAAAGCUCUUUCGCAGGUGAAGAUAAUGACGGUAACCUGAGAAGAAGCCCCGGCUAACUUCGUGCCAGCAGCCGCGGUAAUACGAAGGGGGCUAGCGUUGUUCGGAAUUACUGGGCGUAAAGCGCACGUAGGCGGACUAUUAAGUCAGGGGUGAAAUCCCGGGGCUCAACCCCGGAACUGCCUUUGAUACUGGUAGUCUCGAGUCCGAGAGAGGUGAGUGGAAUUCCGAGUGUAGAGGUGAAAUUCGUAGAUAUUCGGAGGAACACCAGUGGCGAAGGCGGCUCACUGGCUCGGUACUGACGCUGAGGUGCGAAAGCGUGGGGAGCAAACAGGAUUAGAUACCCGUGUAGUCCAA
This 443-nucleotide ribosomal RNA is filed under the name uncultured Mesorhizobium sp. RNAcentral's name for it is "bacterial SSU rRNA". It matches the Rfam family "Bacterial small subunit ribosomal RNA", at positions 338 to 798 of the family's 1533-position model. Lineage: Bacteria; Pseudomonadati; Pseudomonadota; Alphaproteobacteria; Hyphomicrobiales; Phyllobacteriaceae. The record is from RNAcentral.